RNAcentral lists this non-coding RNA (28 nucleotides) under Mus musculus (house mouse). Lineage: Eukaryota; Metazoa; Chordata; Mammalia; Rodentia; Muridae. The record is from RNAcentral.
UCUCAGGAGGAUAGGAUUCUCAGAAUAU